Alexandromys fortis (reed vole) is the source of this 1020-nucleotide long non-coding RNA. RefSeq lists it as uncharacterized. The record is from RefSeq and is a predicted model, not a curated record. The transcript has 3 exons. NCBI's taxonomy places the organism in Eukaryota, Metazoa, Chordata, Mammalia, Rodentia, Cricetidae.
UCCCGCUCCAGACAGACGCAGGUUAAGAUCCUCCCUGAGAUUUUUGCCAAUAUACAUACAAAAAAAAUGUUUCCUACAAACAUCUAAUGGAAGUGAUCAGUUACAUAAUAGUCAGAGCCAUCCUUUCCCGCAUAAGAAUUGGAAUUUUCAAGCCAAGAAUCCGUUUCCUGGAAAAAGAAAAUCCUGGAAAAAUACUUAAAGGUUGAAGUUCAUCCUAGCUUUGAAGUGCCUUCUUACAAUGAGCCAGCAAGUUUAAAUGGUGAUAACAGAGGCAUGAGGCAACAAAUGUCAGAGUACAGAGUCAUGCAAGAUGCCACUCGCAUCGUGUUUGCCAGCAUUCCAAUGGCCAAAGAAGACUGAAUGGUCAAGUCCACUCUCAAAAAGAUGAAUAUAAAACCAGCAUGGUGCAGCUGCUCCUGAGAGCCAGCAGAUUUGUAUGCAGUGACCCAGAGAAGGAGAUCAAAGCCAUAGUAGUGCUAUAUUCUACCAGGUCCUGUUUUCCUUCCCAGCCAACUUCUUCCCUCCUGAAUAAUAGCAAUGGAAUAAAGCGCCUGGAGGAGGAUGCCUUUCAUUUCUGUCUGUCAAUCACUGUGAUUUGAACAGAUCACUGCUUCCUAUUGGCCCUCUAAUAUUUUUCCUGGGGAGCUGUGGAUACACAGAUACUUGCUUUGAAACCAUUGGAAUGUUAUUAAGGAUAAAGUUUUGAUGAACACAGGGCCCUUACCAAUGUUUUCAGUGGCUCCCAUGACUCACCAAUAAAUCCCCAACUCUGUCUAAUCUACCUACGCACUUUCUAACCCCCAAAGUAUAUUCUGUCAUACAGUGGGGCGAUUUUUUUUUUCAGGAACAUUUUCUGGACUAGUCAGUUCUAAACUUCAGAUGCGGACUGUAGUUAUCCAUGGUCUUUCAGACAGGAAAGCUUUUAGUGGGUAUUUGACUUGGUGUUCAGAUAAGACUUCAAACAGCUCUAGGAUAUAAGGAAGGGAAUCCUCUCUAGAGAAGAAUGCUCACUGCACAGGA